CUGAGCUGAAGGCAGACGUUUAAGUGACUGAGCCUCCCAGGUGCCCAAACGUUUCUUAUCUCCCGGCUUCUAUGGUCAGGAGUUACGGGGUGGUAUAGCUAUCUUGUUUUGGUUCAGGAUCUCCCACGAGGUUACGGCUGAGAUGUCAGCCAGGACUGCAGUCAUCUGAAAGCUUGAGUGGGGCGGGAGGGUCGGCUUCCGAGCUGCCUUAUGUAUCUGGCCAGUCAGUGCUGGCUAUUGGUACUCCUAACAACAGUUCCUCCUCCACGGGGCGCUCUCCAGACAAUAUGGCAGUUGGCUUUCCCAGAGCAAGUGAGCCAAGAGAGCGAGGAAGAUGUGGCAACAUCUUUAUGACCAAGCCUUUGAUGUAGGUACUACUAUCAACCCGGUUUUGCAUUGGAGGAAACUAGCUCAGAGAGGUUAAACCACUUGACUAAAGUCACUCAGCUAGCAAGCAGCCAUGCCAGGCAACUUGAAUGGGAGCUGACAAGUUCAUCCAUCUUGACCAGCUGUCCCUGGAGUUUGGGUGCAGCAUGAACGACUUGAUGGCAACCCCAAGCACUGAUCCUGACCAGGAUGGCCAGAGGAUGAGGAGGGAGGGGGAUGGCCAUGGUGUAGUGCUUGUUCACCAACCCUCACCCACAGAUCAAAUACGGGGGCGAUGUGCCCAAGAGCUACCACCCGCGUAACCAGGUGAGGACACAUUAUGAGCACACGGUGACUGUGGCCAGAGGCUCCUUUGUGCAGGUGGAGAACAAAAUCCUGUUCCUGGGCUGUGUGCUCAGGUAGGGAUGGUGGCCAUGCCAUCCCUGGGCACAGCUGAGAGGGGCCUGGAGCUCAGGCAGGUGGUCAUUUGUGGGGCCCUGUCGCCUGCAGAUGGCAGUUUGCAUCGGAAGGGACAGACAUCAGCCUUGGGAUUUUCCUGAAGACCAGGAUGUGUGAACAGAAGCAGGCAGGGGACAUGGUGGAGGUGUUGCCCAUCCAACGCUGCAAAGCCCAUGUGGUCCCUGAGGACGGGAGCCUCACCUGCCUCAAGGCCAGCAUCUGGAAAUAUUGGCAGGAAACAGCUGCACUUGGACCUGGGGGCUGGGGGCUGGAGUCCUGAUGUGCAUCCACGUUUUACCAUGUGGGGGCUCUUGGCACCAGCAGACAGGAUGUAUAACUGGCUUCGGGCUCUCGGGCUGGACAAUGGCUCCCUGGUCCUGGCACAAGAAUUUACACCAUGGAGGGUGAGGUCCUGGGUGGGGCAUCCCAUCUGAAAAUCUGUCCCUUGACGGAGAUGUCCUGAGGUUUGACAAUAUCUACAGCCUAGUUCAUUCCAAACAUAUCGGCUCCACUGUAGAUGUUCUACUCAUGGACCAAAUCUUUGUGGAGAAGACGGAGAGAUUCUAGGCAAGCCUUGUGGCUCCCAUAGCCUCCCCUUUGAUCUCUAGGACCACAAUGAAUUCAUAGCCUUCCCUGGCCAGACUCCCUCCAACCUCCCUAGGAAUGGGAAUCCUACAACAGCUGCUCCCAGCCCAGUUGUCACAGUGGGUCUGCAUCUUAGGAACUACUAGGACUGUGUCCCAGGGGUGGCCAGACAGCCACAGCAAAGCAAACAAAACAUGAAAGACUGAAGGCAGUCAUCCCUGGGAUCCCAUUUUUUAAGGGCUCACCAAGCACCCCUUCUCAACAAUCUAUUCCAGAAUCUUGAUAGCAAGUUUUUUCAACUGAUUCCCAAAUUCAGUGCCUGGUUCCUAUCAUCCUCUAUGGUUCUACCAUGUUAUCUUGCCCAGAUGGCACCAAGGUGCUGGGGCCAACUGGUAGGGGGAGUUUAGUUGGAGAAGUGCCACAUGGGAGGAGAGGGCAUUGGAGAGCCAUGUCAAGGAUGGAGGGAUUUCCCUGGCUUGGGUUGCCUUGACCCCAUGAUCUGCCAUAUCCCACCCACCGUUCCAUCUGUUUCUAGCAACUGCCCUUGCUAUAGUCUUCUGGAGACAUGGGCUGAAGACCAGAGCUGUUGGCCAGAUAACGGACAUGUUCACAGCUGUCCCCACCUGCCUCCUCUCCUACAAAGCCUUCACUCUGAGCCCACAGUCCCCUGCCCCAAAUCUUUGUCUUUGCUCAUGCUGUUCCCUCACCUAGAAGGCGUGCUUUUCUUCCCUCUGUACAAAGUUUCUCUCCAGCAAGCGGUGCUGAGUCACAGUGAGGGCAAGUACUUGGUGUGUCAUUUACACCCAUGAGAUUCUCUCUUUCUACUGAAUAAUCCCGAGAGCUUCAACAAACCUAUACAGUUCUAGGACCACUGCCACAAUCAGGAUGCACAACUCCAUCUCCCCCCAAAUUCCCUCCUGCGGGCCCUUUGUCAUCUACCCUUCCCCUACCCCAGCCCUGACAACCACUGAUCUGUUUUCUAAUACUGCAGUUGACUUUUCCGAAAAUGCCAAAUUAUACGGUAUGUGAUCUUUCGGAUCUGGCUUUCUUCUUUUGGCAUGACGCCUCUGAGAACCAUCUGUGUUGUUGCCUGUGUUAGUGGUUGGCUCCUUCCUGUGGCUGAGUGGUGUUCCAUUGCGUGGAAGCACCGUGCUGUGUUUAUCCAUUUCCCCGGUGGAAGGUUAGCUGGGUUGUUUCCAGUUUGAGGCAAUUACUAAUAAAGCCGCUAUAUGAAUACAUGAGGUUUUUGUCU
This is a long non-coding RNA of Mustela erminea (ermine), 2662 nucleotides long. RefSeq lists it as uncharacterized. The record is from RefSeq and is a predicted model, not a curated record. The transcript has 3 exons. Lineage: Eukaryota; Metazoa; Chordata; Mammalia; Carnivora; Mustelidae.